Molecule: long non-coding RNA, 1345 nt
Organism: Amphiprion ocellaris (clown anemonefish)
Lineage: Eukaryota; Metazoa; Chordata; Actinopteri; Pomacentridae
Exons: 2
Source: RefSeq, a predicted model, not a curated record
CAAGCAAACUCCCCGAGGGAUCGGCGCUCCAAACACUGAAGCACCACGUGAUCGGCGAAAACACCUGGUGCAUUAUGUGGACGAAAUGAAGCGCGAAGGCUUAUCUGAGCGACACAGUCAGACAGGGAAGAUAAAACUACGAUUGCCCAAACGAGAUGGGCUUCGACGGGUUCUGACCUGUCGAUGAUGCCACACAUGUCGAUCUGCAGUUGGCUGUAAUUUCCCAGCAGUCUUUGCUGCACCGUGAUGAGAUCCACCAGCUGGUUGUCCACAGCAAGGAGACGCAUGCAGCCCUGGAAGACGUCGAAGGGGUUUUCACAGUCCUGACUGUGGUAUUCGGCAGGACAACCUCGACGACAAAAAAAAAAAAAAAAGAGAGCAUUUAGAAAACAGAGAAGUAGAGAAGGGAAUCAUUUGAGGGCAGUGAUUGUAUCAAAAACACAUGUUGGAUUCACGGAGAAGCAAACAUAGCCGUAUUAGUUAGAAUCCCAUUUACACAAAAUUGGAAAAUGGUUGAAAUUCACUGUGAGUUCAGCAAAUUGACAAAAGAGUUAACAUGCACUGUGCACACUUUUGGUGAGUAAUAUGAAGCAAAACUGUGGUAAAUGUGUGACAGUCGAGCUGUGAUUUGUGUAGUCUCACGCCUUCCUAAGUGGGUGAAAUCAUGCAAAUAUAUGCCAAAUGAAUCCAGCUAAUUUCUCACUGCUGUCGUCCGUUUAAUGUGAAAGGGGAGAUAGUGAAAGUGCAUGUGUGUAAAUGCGUGCACGUGCAGGAUGAGAAAAAGCCCACGGCAGUUAGAAGAACAUGCCUGGACUGCAAUAACGCUGAAUGAGAGAGAAACCAAGAGAGAAUGCAGUUUUUCCGCAGCGAGGGAGAAGAAAAUGAAACAAAGUGAGACGAGAGGAAGAAAAAGACUGGAGAGAAAAGAAAACAUGGAGAGUAGAACAGCAGACAGAUGAAGACACAGCAGACUUAUAACUUUCAUUAUAAAACCGCCACAAGCCGAAGUUUUGUCAGUGAAGACGUUCCAUGAUUCCCUCUUACCACCAAAGAAGAGCUGACCUCCCGCGGUGACAGGAAAUGGGGGGUUUGCAUGAGCAACGCCACCUUCUUCUUUAUCCACAGAGAUCAUCAGACGGCUGCGUCUGGAGGUAACAUCCACUGAAUGCCACUGACCAUCGUUCAGAGCAGAGCCUGGGACAAGAUUAGAUAAAAUUAAAAUGAAUAUUCUACCUCAACUCAUCAUGAUUUAUCAUGAAAUAUGGAUAUGUAAGAUUGUAUCUCUGAAAUUGUAGAUUGACAUAUGACAUAUCCACCAAGAUAAUAAAAAAAACAUGCCCAUCGA